This is a long non-coding RNA of Papaver somniferum (opium poppy), 2312 nucleotides long. RefSeq lists it as uncharacterized. NCBI's taxonomy places the organism in Eukaryota, Viridiplantae, Streptophyta, Magnoliopsida, Ranunculales, Papaveraceae. The transcript has 4 exons. The record is from RefSeq and is a predicted model, not a curated record.
UUUGUAUAUGAAAAUUAAAAGCCAUUUCUUAUCACCGACAGAGCUUUGCUGGUAUCGAAAUAAGAUGGAGGCUUCAUUAUGGUCUGAAUUUUGGGGUUUCAUGGAUUUUGUAUACUCAGAGCAGUAGUUGUUUGAUGGUAUCUUUAUAAAGACGUGAAUGGAGAUGGUGUGGAGCUUCUUCAAAUAAACUGAUAUCGUUUGCCAACACCUAAAAUGGGUUCGACAGUUUUGAGUUUGUCCUAAUACAAAUGGCACCCCAAAUCACUGCUUCUACGGGUAUGAAAAAUCACAAAUAUUGUUGAAAUAUCAAAUACUGCUGUUAAACAAAGACUCGGGUACGGCAGUAUAUGAAUUGCAAUCACCUGUGACCAGAGAUGAGCUUGCAGCUGAGGUAUUCAUCCUCUUUUUCUCUGUAAAAUAUUUUUUUCUUAACAAACACCGAGCAAAUUAAACUGACAUAAUGUAAGUUACUACCAUUCAUCACUAUUUACAACUAGUUGACAUCACACUUAUUCAUUUUAACAUCUUGAAAUGGUAGUAUAGUCCCCAAAUCAGUCUUUUGAUUUACUGAAUUCUGGGUAUGUGGUUAUACUGUCAAAUUUCAUCAAGGUCUCCCUUUUGUUUUCUUCUUCAAAUGUUGAUAGUUGUAAACUGUCUGGUGGCGAGGCAACUUUGUGCGAACUCCAGCCAGAAAACUUGUACAUAAUUGAACCUUUCUCAUUUGAGGUGUCACUGCAUCUGCCAAAAUCAAUUCCACUGCCAGACGGAAAGGUACAAGGGACUCUAGAUGUUAAAGUCAGAGGAAAAUAAAUUAGUAUGUUUUCUAAAAUACAUUUCUGACUUGUCUAUAAUGUUCUUUUCAUGGAAAAACUAUAAGUUUUUUACAUAGUCAUUAACACAAGUGAAUGUUGUAUUAUUCAAUUUGCCGCAUGAACAAAAACUUAAGGCAAAUGUUCACUGUGAACUCUUGGUUUAAAACAAGAGGUGAUUGGUGGCGGCAAAGUUAGGGGUUUAUGUUGGAUGAAUUGAUUUUCAUGUUUCUGAAAUUGAGUUCUUGAUCUCAAUUGAUAAAUGAAAUUGCAUCAACGAAGUAAGGUCCGUAUGUCAGCUGGAUUGGGUUUAUUUGGGGUAACUGAUUUACUCUUUGAUCAGUGGAGGAAGGUUAUUAGCCGGUCAUGGAGAUGAAACUGAGCUCACUGGCGGUCAUUCUUUAGUAACCACUGUCUAAAAUGUGCUGGGUGAAUGGGUUUUCUGUGGGGAUAUUUUUAUAAAUCACACUGAGACUGUAUGGGUUUUUGACAAGCCUUGGUCUGGGUGAAAUUCAGAAGUUUAGAGAAUGGGCAGUGGAUGGACUUGGUAAUGGCUUGAAUUUUGAAACUAGAUUUAGUGUUGGAUUGGGUCGCAAGUACCCUAUUUGCUCGGUCCAUAUUGGAUACUUUUGUACCACCUAUAGAAGUAUCAGUCUAGACAAACUCAAGAGGAGGCCGUCUUCAAAACAGAGUCGUAAAUAAGGAAAGUUGCAUCUGUGUUUCUGACUAUGAUGAUGGAGCCGAGGUGCGUAAGCUUCCUUGCUGACACCAUUUUCACUGUGCCUGCAUUAUAGUCAUGCUGUUAUUACAGUGAGCAUUCUGUAUCAGUGUUUUUUUUUGAAGUUGAAGCAGCUAGGUCUACUGUGGACUCUUCACAUGCUGCAGCAGUCAAACAAGUACAUCAUCUGGAAAUUUCAAUGGAAGAUUUUACAACUCAUGGGUCUUUUGCAUCUCUUGAUAAUCAGUGGCAUGACAGCAGUCGUGAAGUUCAAGCUUCCAUUAAAGAAAAUGAUUAUGGAACUAUCGAUAAGGCUUACAGGCUGCUGCUAAAUCUUACAGGUCUGUGAAGCAGCAUUGAUAGCAACUGAUUCUAAGGAAAUUAAGCUUGGUGACAACUUAUGGUUUCAGUUUCUGUACACUGCUUAUUAGCCAAGUCUGAAGCUGCUGAAGCUUUAGACAUGAAAGAUUGCUCUGGAUUGGGCUUUGGGCUACACCUUGAAAUGACUUUUUAACAAGCACUGGUUUGAUUAUAGGUUUUGUGGAUCAAUCUUUUAAACUGUAGCUUGAAAAUCUUUGUUUUCUCUUAUCAUAGACUUAAAAGGCUUAAAAUCCAAUAGGGAGCAAUGAUCAGAUAAAAUCAUCAGAUUUGCGUCACUAGCAGUCAACGAUUAUUCUGUAAAGGGUCAUAGUUUGAGUCACGGAAUAUUCGGAUUUGCAGACCACAAUUUGUCUUGCCACUAACAAAGUUUUUAACGACAAAAUUUGAGAUUUGCUUCGUAUUCA